Molecule: ribosomal RNA, 253 nt
Filed under: uncultured bacterium
Lineage: Bacteria
Description: partial 16S ribosomal RNA
Rfam family: Bacterial small subunit ribosomal RNA
Source: RNAcentral
UACGUAGGGUGCAAGCGUUAAUCGGAAUUACUGGGCGUAAAGCGUGCGCAGGCGGUGAUGUAAGACAGUUGUGAAAUCCCUCGGCUCAACCGAGGAACUGCGUCUGAUACUGGUUGGCUUGAAUUCGGGAGAGGGAUGCGGAAUUCCAGGUGUAGCGGUGAAAUGCGUAGAUAUCUGGAGGAACACCGGUGGCGAAGGCGGCAUCCUGGACCGAGAUUGACGCUGAUGCGCGAAAGCCAGGGGAGCAAACAGG